Molecule: unclassified non-coding RNA, 340 nt
Filed under: soil metagenome
Description: partial contains 5.8S ribosomal RNA, internal transcribed spacer 2, and large subunit ribosomal RNA
Rfam family: 5.8S ribosomal RNA (bases 1-120)
Source: RNAcentral
GAUGAAGAACGCAGCGAAAUGCGAUAAGUAGUGUGAAUUGCAGAAUUCAGUGAAUCAUCGAAUCUUUGAACGCACAUUGCGCCCUUUGGUAUUCCAAAGGGCAUGCCUGUUCGAGCGUCAUUUGUACCCUCAAGCUUUGCUUGGUGUUGGGCGUCUUGUCUCUAGCUUUGCUGGAGACUCGCCUUAAAGUAAUUGGCAGCCGGCCUACUGGUUUCGGAGCGCAGCACAAGUCGCACUCUCUAUCAGCAAAGGUCUAGCAUCCAUUAAGCCUUUUUUUCAACUUUUGACCUCGGAUCAGGUAGGGAUACCCGCUGAACUUAAGCAUACAAUAAGCGGAGGA